GUGUCAGCCGCCGCGGUAAGACGAACCGUGCGAACGUUGUUCGGAAUCACUGGGCUUAAAGGGCGCGUAGGCGGGUUCGCAAGUCAGGGGUGAAAUCUUUCAGCUUAACUGGAAAACAGCCCCUGAUACUGCGAGUCUCGAGGGAGGUAGGGGCAUGUGGAACUUCCGGUGGAGCGGUGAAAUGCGUAGAUAUCGGAAGGAACGCCGGUGGCGAAAGCGACGUGCUGGACCUCUUCUGACGCUGAGGCGCGAAAGCUAGGGGAGCAAACGGGAUUAGAUACCCCUGUAGUCC
Molecule: ribosomal RNA, 292 nt
Filed under: uncultured bacterium
Lineage: Bacteria
Description: partial 16S ribosomal RNA
Rfam family: Bacterial small subunit ribosomal RNA
Source: RNAcentral